GCAUCGAGAACACACCGUCAUAUUAUAUAUUUAGCCUUCUCUCGAUCGUUCGAUUAGAUUAACUUCGAAAAUUUCGUAUUGGGCGUGUCUGCCCUACGCGGACACGUGCCCCGUAGGUAACGUCUGGCUCCAGUCGCGCAGUGCCACCGAAAUCAAUACGGAAUGCGACGGAGGCCCCUACUGUUAUGAGGACCACCUUGGCGAGUUGUUUGGUCCUAUGGUGUUUCAUGGCCAUGGGAGAGAUCGAUUAGGAACCUCUGCAGCGGCCACCACGCCCAGACAGGGAGGGAGCUGGUAUGAGUCACCCCAUAGAGAGAACCCAUAAGACGGGCGGGGACACCACCGUCGCGUUGCAACGUGGCAUUGAAAGUGACGAGAACACCGUGCAUAUUCACCCUCGCCUUUUUCCUUCAUAGCUCGACGAACGUGUGUCACGCGAGUCUAGGGAACACCAUGGAUCACGUGCGUCGACCUAACUCAACAACUUACUUAGUGCAAUUUAAGCCUAGGGAUGCCAUUGAUUUUCAUCCAUUGGACAAUGCGAGGAGAGGGCUUAACGAUUACUCAUCCUGCACCCACAACCACUUGCCCUUCUAUAUGUAUAUCCAAUAAAACUGUU
Osmia bicornis bicornis is the source of this 619-nucleotide RNA transcript. RefSeq lists it as uncharacterized. The transcript is spliced from 2 exons. The record is from RefSeq and is a predicted model, not a curated record. Lineage: Eukaryota; Metazoa; Arthropoda; Insecta; Hymenoptera; Megachilidae.